CGGGGCGUAGCGCAGCUUGGUAGCGCAUCUGCUUUGGGAGCAGAGGGUCGCAUGUUCAAAUCAUGUCGCCCCGACCA
Molecule: transfer RNA, 77 nt
Filed under: Eubacteriales Family XIII. Incertae Sedis bacterium
Lineage: Bacteria; Bacillati; Bacillota; Clostridia; Peptostreptococcales; Anaerovoracaceae
Description: tRNA-Pro
Rfam family: tRNA
About the family: Transfer RNA (tRNA) molecules are approximately 80 nucleotides in length. Their secondary structure includes four short double-helical elements and three loops (D, anti-codon, and T loops). Further hydrogen bonds mediate the characteristic L-shaped molecular structure. tRNAs have two regions of fundamental functional importance: the anti-codon, which is responsible for specific mRNA codon recognition, and the 3' end, to which the tRNAs corresponding amino acid is attached (by aminoacyl-tRNA synthetases). tRNAs cope with the degeneracy of the genetic code in two manners: having more than one tRNA (with a specific anti-codon) for a particular amino acid; and 'wobble' base-pairing, i.e. permitting non-standard base-pairing at the 3rd anti-codon position.
Source: RNAcentral